This 914-nucleotide ribosomal RNA is filed under the name uncultured euryarchaeote. Its description in RNAcentral is "bacterial SSU rRNA". It matches the Rfam family "Archaeal small subunit ribosomal RNA", at positions 1 to 921 of the family's 1478-position model. The record is from RNAcentral. Lineage: Archaea; Methanobacteriati; Methanobacteriota.
UUCCGGUUGAUCCCGCCGGAGGUUACUGCUAUCGAGGUUCGACUAAGCCAUGCGAGUCGAAUGUAGCAAUACAUGGCGUACUGCUCAGUAACACGUGGAUAACCUACCCUUGAGAUGGGAAUAAACCCGGGAAACUGGGUAUAAUACCCGAUAGAUCUCGACUGCUGGAAUGCAUCGAGAUCCAAAGCUCCGGCGCUCAAGGAUGGAUCUGCGGCCUAUCAGGUAGUAGUGGGUGUAGCGUACCUACUAGCCUACGACGGGUACGGGUUGUGAGAGCAAGAGCCCGGAGAUGGAUUCUGAGACACGAAUCCAGGCCCUACGGGGUGCAGCAGGCGCGAAAACUUUACAAUGCUGGAAACAGCGAUAAGGGGACCUCGAGUGCCAGGUUACAAAUCUGGCUGUCGUGAUGCCUAAAAAGCAUUGCAUAGCAAGGGCCGGGCAAGACCGGUGCCAGCCGCCGCGGUAACACCGGCGGCUCGAGUGGUAACCGUUAUUAUUGGGUCUAAAGGGUCUGUAGCCGGCCGGAUAAGUCUCUUGGGAAAUCUGGCAGCUUAACUGUCAGGCUUUCAGGAGAUACUGUCUGGCUCGAGGCCGGGAGAGGUGAGAGGUACUUCAGGGGUAGGGGUGAAAUCUUGUAAUCCUUGAAGGACCACCAGUGGCGAAGGCGUCUCACCAGUACGGACCUGACGGCAAGGGACGAAAGCCAGGGGCACGAACCGGAUUAGAUACCCGGGUAGUCCUAGCCGUAAACGAUACUCGCUAGGUGUCGGCAACGGUGCGACCGUUGUCGGUGCCGUAGGGAAGCCGUGAAGCGAGCCACCUGGGAAGUACGGCCGCAAGGCUGAAACUUAAAGGAAUUGGCGGGGGAGCACCACAACGGGUGGAACUUGCGGUUUAAUUGGAUUCAACGCCGG